UACGGAGGGUGCAAGCGUUGCUCGGAAUUAUUGGGCGUAAAGGGUAGGUAGGUGGUCUUAUUUGUGUGGGGUGAAAGCCUUGGGCUUAACUCAAGAAGUGCCCCGCAAACGGUAAGACUGGAGUCUUGGAGAGGCUAGCGGAAUUCCCGGUGUAGCGGUGAAAUGCGUAGAGAUCCGGAGGAACCCCAGAGGCGAAGGCGACGCCCUGGCUCGUACCUGACGCUCAGCCACGAAAGCAUGGGGAGCGAACGGG
RNAcentral lists this ribosomal RNA (253 nucleotides) under uncultured bacterium. RNAcentral describes it as "partial 16S ribosomal RNA". It matches the Rfam family "Bacterial small subunit ribosomal RNA", at positions 524 to 776 of the family's 1533-position model. The record is from RNAcentral.